Molecule: ribosomal RNA, 468 nt
Filed under: uncultured bacterium
Lineage: Bacteria
Description: partial 16S ribosomal RNA
Rfam family: Bacterial small subunit ribosomal RNA
Source: RNAcentral
GACGAACGCUGGCGGCGUGCUUAACACAUGCAAGUCGAACGGAAAGGCCCUGCUUUUGUGGGGUGCUCGAGUGGCGAACGGGUGAGUAACACGUGAGUAACGUGCCCUUGCCUUUGGGAUAACUUCAGGAAACUGGAGCUCAUACCGGAUAGGAGCUCCUGCUUCUUGGUGGGGGUUGGAAAGUUUCGGCGGUUGGGGAUGGACUCGCGGCUUAUCAGCUUGUUGGUGGGGUAGUGGCUUACCAAGGCUUUGCCGGGUAGCCGGCCUGAGAGGGUGACCGGCCACAUUGGGACUGAGAUACGGCCCAGACUCCUACGGGAGGCAGCAGUGGGGAGUAUUGCACAAUGGGCGGAAGCCUGAUGCAGCAACGCCGCGUGCGGGAUGACGGCCUUCGGUUUGUAAACCACUUUCGCCUGUGACGAAGCGUGAGUGACGGUAAUGGGUAAAGAAGCACCGGCUAACUACGUG